RNAcentral lists this long non-coding RNA (2067 nucleotides) under Nicotiana tabacum (common tobacco). Its description in RNAcentral is "long non-coding RNA (NTAB_LNC011506)". Lineage: Eukaryota; Viridiplantae; Streptophyta; Magnoliopsida; Solanales; Solanaceae. The record is from RNAcentral.
CGCUUGAUUAUAAAAACAUGAACUGUAUUCCCUGUUUCAACAGGUGGGCGCCUAAUAGCGAAAACUUGAACUGCAUUCCUUUGUUCUCUAGGUGGGCGCCUGAUUGCCGAAACUUGAACUGUAUUCCCUGUUUCUCCAGGUGGGCACCUAAUAGCGAAAACUUGAACUGCAUUCCUUUGUUCUCUAGGUGGGCGCUUGAUUGCCGAAACUUGAACUGUAUUCCUUUGUUCUCCAGGUGGGCGCCUGAUUGCCAAAACUUGAACUGUAUUCCCUGUUUCUCCAGGUGGGCGCCUGAUUGCCAAAACUUGAACUGUAUUCCCUUAUUUUCCAGAUGGGUGCCUGAUUGCCAAAACUGUAACUAUAUUCCCUUGUUCUCCAGGUGGGCGCCUGAUUGCCAAAACUUGAACCGUAUGCCCUUGUUCUCCAGGUGGGCACCUGAUUGCCCAAAUUUGAACUAUAUUCCCUUAUUCUCAGGUGGGUGCCUGAUUGCCAAAACUUGAAUUAUAUUCCCUUGUUUUCUAAGUCGGCGACUGAUUGCCAAAACUUGAACUGUAUUUCCUUAUUCUCCAAGUGGGCACCUGAUUGCCAAAACUUGAACUAUAUUCCCUUGUUCUCCAGGUGGGCGCCCAAUAUUGAAAACUUGAACUACAUUCCUUUGUUCUCUAGGUGGGUUCCUGAUUGCCGAAACUUGAACUGUAUUCCCUUAUUUUCCAGGCGGGCGUCUGAUUGCCAAAACUUGAACUGUAUUCCCUUGUUCUCUAGUUGGGCACCUGAUUGCCCAAACUUGAACUAUAUUCCCUUAUUCUCUAGGUGGACGCCUGAUUGCCAAAACAUGAAUUGUAUUCCCUUGUUCUCCAGAUGGGCGCCUGAUUGCCAAAACUUGAACUGUAUUCCCUGUUUCUCCAGGUGGGCGCCUAAUUGCGAAAACUUGAACUGCAUUCCUUUGUUCUCUAGGUGGGCUCCUGAUUGCCGAAACUUGAACUGUAUUCCCUUAUUCUCCAAGUGGGCGCCUGAUUGCCAAAACUUGAACUAUAUUCCCUUGUUCUCCAGGUGGGCGCCUGAUUGCCAAAACUUGAAUUGUAUGCCCUUGUUCUCCAGGUGGGCACCUUAUUGCCCAAGCUUGAACUGUAUUCCCUUGUUCUCAGGUGGGUGCCUGAUUGCCGAAACUUGAUUUGUAUUCCCUUGUUCUCCAGGUGGGCACCUGAUUGCCAAAUCUCUAAACUGUAUUCCAUAUUUCUCCAGGUGGGCACCUGAUUGCCGAAACUUUAACUAUAUUCCCUUGUUCUCCAGGUGGGCGCUUGAUUGCCAAAACUUGAAUUGUAUGCCCUUGUUCUCCAGGUGGGCGCCUGAUUGCCCAAACUUUAACUGUAUUCCCUUGUUCUCCAGGUGGGUGCCUGAUUGCCAAAACUUGAACUGUAUUCCCUUGUUCUCCAGGUGGGCGCCUGAUUGCCGAAACUUGAACUGUAUUCCCUUGUUCUCUAGGUGGGCGCCUGAUUGCCAAAACUUAAAAUGUAUUCCCUUAUUUUCCAGAUGGGGGCGAUUGCCAAAACUUGAACUGUAUUCCCUUGUUCUCUAGGUGGGCGCCUGAUUGCGAAAACUUGAACUGUAUUCCCUUGUUCUCUAGGUGGGCGCCUAAUUGCCAAAACUUGAAACUGUCUUCCCUUGUUCUCCAGGUUGCCGCCUCAUUGCCAAAACUUGAUACUUUAUUCCCUUGUUCUCCAGGUAGGCGCUUGAUUACCAAAACUUGAACUGUAUGCCCUGGUUCUCCAGGUGGGCGCCUAAUAGCGAAAACUUGAACUGCAUUCCUUUGUUCUCUAGGUGGGCGCCUGAUUGCCGAAACUUGAACUGUAUUCCCUUAUUCUCCAGGUGGGCGCCUGAUUGCCAAAACUUGAACUGUAUUCCCUUAUUUUCCAGAUGGGUGCCUGAAUUCCAAAACUGUAAAUAUAUUCCCUUGUUCUCCAGGUGGGCGCCUGAUUGCCAAAACUUGAACUGUAUGCCCUUGUUUUCCAGGUGGGCACCUGAUUGCCCAAAUUUGAAUUGUAUUCCCUUAUUCUCGGGUGGGUGCCU